AUACCUUUCUCGACCUUUUCGCUAAGCUAAAGUGUAAUAUUUGUUCUUAUCAGUUUAAUAUCUUAUAUGUGGACCAUCGGUUCACUUUGAUAUUAAAUUUAUUUUAUAGGUAUCGACUAUGAUUGUGUGCCGUCACAACAUAC
RNAcentral lists this small nuclear RNA (143 nucleotides) under Zea mays. Its description in RNAcentral is "U2 spliceosomal RNA". It matches the Rfam family "U2 spliceosomal RNA", at positions 1 to 142 of the family's 192-position model. From Rfam's summary of the family: U2 is a small nuclear RNA (snRNA) component of the spliceosome (involved in pre-mRNA splicing). Complementary binding between U2 snRNA (in an area lying towards the 5' end but 3' to hairpin I) and the branchpoint sequence (BPS) of the intron results the bulging out of an unpaired adenosine, on the BPS, which initiates a nucleophilic attack at the intronic 5' splice site, thus starting the first of two transesterification reactions that mediate splicing. Lineage: Eukaryota; Viridiplantae; Streptophyta; Magnoliopsida; Poales; Poaceae. The record is from Rfam by way of RNAcentral.